Alosa alosa (allis shad) is the source of this 385-nucleotide long non-coding RNA. RefSeq lists it as uncharacterized. Lineage: Eukaryota; Metazoa; Chordata; Actinopteri; Clupeiformes; Clupeidae. The transcript is spliced from 5 exons. The record is from RefSeq and is a predicted model, not a curated record.
AGCGAGUUCUACGAAGUGCUCUCUAGUCAUCUGGCAGGGGAGGAAAAGUUUAGGUUUAUGUUACAGGAAAUCAGGGAAGAGUAUUCACACAGAAAGGCCCGUUUCAGAUAAUGGCAGCAAAAAGAACCCAGACGUCAUGUCACGUUAGCAGAGGUGGGGUUGACAGCAAAAUAUCCAAACCAAAAAUGAUAGACCAAUCUACUGACUCUCCAACGAAGAAGGUGAAAGGUGUGGAUAUGAAUGUUACUCCAAAAAGCCAUGAAAUCCCGCAUGGAUUGGAAGGGGCAAUGUCAGAAGCAAAUAGAAGUCUCAACAUGCUCUUCUCAGAAUUCACAGAAUUGUUAAGAGAAAGAGUGUCUGUGGACUCCUCACAAGUGAAUGAGUU